UGCUUUACACAUGCAAGUCGAACGGCAGCACGGACUUCGGUCUGGUGGCGAGUGGCGAACGGGUGAGUAAUAUAUCGGAACGUAUCCAAUAAUGGGGGAUAACUAAUCGAAAGGUUGGCUAAUACCGCAUACGCCCUACGGGGGAAAGCUAGGGAUCUUCGGACCUGGCGUUAAUGGAGCGGCUGAUAUCUGAUUAGCUAGUAGGUGAGGUAAAGGCUCACCUAGGCGACGAUAGUAGCUGGUCUGAGAGGACGACCAGCCACACUGGAACUGAGACACGGUCCAGACUCCUACGGGAGGCAGCAGUGGGGAAUUUUGGACAAUGGGCGAAAGCCUGAUCCAGCCAUUCCGCGUGAGUGAAGAAGGCCUUCGGGUUGUAAAGCUCUUUCGCAAGGGAAGAAAACUUAUCCUCUAACAUAGGGUGAGGUUGACGGUACCUUGAUAAGAAGCACCGGCUAACUACGUGCCAGCAGCCGCGGUAAUACGUAGGUGCGAGCGUUAAUCGGAAUUACUGGGCGUAAAGCGUGCGCAGGCGGUUUUGUAAGUCAGAUGUGAAAUCCCCGAGCUCAACUUGGGAACUGCGUUUGAAACUAUAAGACUAGAAUUUUGUCAGAGGGGGGUAGAAUUCCACGUGUACAAGUGAAAUGCGUAAAGAUGUGGAGGAAUACCAAUGGCGAAGGCAGCCCCCUGGGAUAAUAUUGACGCUCAUGCACGAAAGCGUGGGGAGCAAACAGGAUUAGAUACCUGGUAGUCCACGCCCUAAACGAUGUUUACUAGUUGUUGGUGGAGUAAAAUCCAUGAGUAACGCAGCUAACGCGUGAAGUAGACCGCCUGGGGAGUACGGUCGCAAGAUUAAGACUCAAAUUGAAUUGACGGGGGGCCCGCACAAGCCGGUGGAUUAUUGUGGAUUAAUUCGAUGCAACGCGAAAAACCUUACCUGGGCCUUGACAUGUUA
RNAcentral lists this ribosomal RNA (955 nucleotides) under uncultured Methylophilus sp. RNAcentral's name for it is "bacterial SSU rRNA". It matches the Rfam family "Bacterial small subunit ribosomal RNA", at positions 45 to 991 of the family's 1533-position model. The record is from RNAcentral. Lineage: Bacteria; Pseudomonadati; Pseudomonadota; Betaproteobacteria; Nitrosomonadales; Methylophilaceae.